CUGUCGGCGACUAAACCGGCUCCCCAAGUGGGCUAUCCAGUGAAGAGAGUGACUAGACACCAAGGAGGCUAUAAUUCUGUAGUCUCUUUGCUAGACACCCGGCAAAGGACGGAUGAGCUUGCUAGCCAACGGCCAGCCAGUUCUGGUGUGGAUUCGGACACGCGCAUUGCCAUGCACCGCGUCCCCACUCUCCCUUUUCUGGUGGGUGACACACCAGAGGUCUUACGCUCUGUUUCUUGAUCGUUUAGCCUCACCACAAUCCAUCCAUCCAUAACACCGUGGACCAGGCCAGUCCGUCGAGUGACUUCCAGUUGGAAGUUCUCGAAGGGCUCGUAGCCUCGUACACGCUGUUCUUUAUCACCACCAUCUCGCUGUUGUCCUCCGCCGCCUCCAUCUUGCCUAAGGAUCUCCGCAUCACGACUCCUGAAGUACCACAGCACCCAGCACAGCCCCCAGCACCAGCAUCGCUACCAGUCCUGCUGCAGCUGGCACCGCCACCUCCAUUGACGACAAUUCUGUGGAUGCUGUUUUGUCCUCUGUGUCGAUGGCAGAGGCUGUGCAGAGGGAGACUUGUAAGGUCCCCAUCGGCUCCCAUGUUUUGCAGUUCUCUUCUGCUAGCGUUUCUUGUCUCCAGCCUGAGGGCCCGUGAGCCACAAUAUGAAGACUUGAGAGAUUCCUGGACUGGAUCGUUUGGGCACACCGAGUAUUGCACUUGCCAAUAUUUAAUUGAAAUGUAAGUCUGUGUGAUUUUUUGUCCAGCUGUACCAACGCGUUCGCCAAUACCUUCCACCAAUCGACUGAGUCAUCAGGGAAGCAGGAAGUGUUUUGUAGCGGGAACCAAGCGGUGUAGUUGCUCCGGUUCACCACCGCCUCCAGGCUAAUCCCUCUGAAGCCGGACUCGGGGUACAUGUAUGUUUCCAGCGUGAUGUUCGGUCCACUUUUCUCCUCUCUUGUUUUAAUUUCUGACUGUUCUUCUUUACCGAUGGUCUGAAUAGCGGGGCAGUUAACGUCUCUGUCACUCCCGGAGACGGACAACGCCGACCUCAGAAGCAGCAGGAGAAGCAGCAGCGGCGGCGACGGUGGCAGCAGUAAGGAGGACCUGCUGGUGUUCAUCGUGGCUCACUGUCUUCUGCGUCUGUGUGUGUGUGUGUGUGUGUGUAUAAUGUUCAGAAGCGGGAUAAGACCAAGAACAGUCUCCUUCGAUAAGAUUAUACCAGGACAUCCUCUGAUACUCUCUCUCUCUCUCUCUCUCUCUCACACACACACACACACACACACACACACACACACACACACACACACACACA
Molecule: long non-coding RNA, 1307 nt
Organism: Eriocheir sinensis (Chinese mitten crab)
Lineage: Eukaryota; Metazoa; Arthropoda; Malacostraca; Decapoda; Varunidae
Exons: 3
Source: RefSeq, a predicted model, not a curated record